This 818-nucleotide ribosomal RNA is filed under the name uncultured Oxalobacteraceae bacterium. RNAcentral's name for it is "bacterial SSU rRNA". It matches the Rfam family "Bacterial small subunit ribosomal RNA", at positions 8 to 827 of the family's 1533-position model. The record is from RNAcentral. Lineage: Bacteria; Pseudomonadati; Pseudomonadota; Betaproteobacteria; Burkholderiales; Oxalobacteraceae.
AGAGAUCAUGGCUCAGAUUGAACGCUGGCGGCAUGCUUUACACAUGCAAGUCGAACGGCAGCGCGGGGCAACCUGGCGGCGAGUGGCGAACGGGUGAGUAAUAUAUCGGAACGUACCCAAGAGUGGGGGAUAACGUAGCGAAAGUUACGCUAAUACCGCAUACGAUCCAAGGAUGAAAGUGGGGGACCUUCGGGCCUCAUGCUCCUGGAGCGGCCGAUAUCUGAUUAGCUAGUUGGUAGGGUAAAGGCCUACCAAGGCUACGAUCAGUAGCUGGUCUGAGAGGACGACCAGCCACACUGGAACUGAGACACGGUCCAGACUCCUACGGGAGGCAGCAGUGGGGAAUUUUGGACAAUGGGCGCAAGCCUGAUCCAGCAAUGCCGCGUGAGUGAAGAAGGCCUUCGGGUUGUAAAGCUCUUUUGUCAGGGAAGAAACGGCUGAGGUUAAUACCUUUGGCUAAUGACGGUACCUGAAGAAUAAGCACCGGCUAACUACGUGCCAGCAGCCGCGGUAAUACGUAGGGUGCAAGCGUUAAUCGGAAUUACUGGGCGUAAAGCGUGCGCAGGCGGUUUUGUAAGUUUGUCGUGAAAGCCCCGGGCUCAACCUGGGAAUUGCGAUGAAGACUGCAAGGCUUGAAUCUGGCAGAGGGGGGUAGAAUUCCACGUGUAGCAGUGAAAUGCGUAGAGAUGUGGAGGAACACCGAUGGCGAAAGCAGCCCCCUGGGUCAAGAUUGACGCUCAUGCACGAAAGCGUGGGGAGCAAACAGGAUUAGAUACCCUGGUAGUCCACGCCCUAAACGAUGUCUACUAGUUGUCGGG